Triticum aestivum (bread wheat) is the source of this 2439-nucleotide long non-coding RNA. RefSeq lists it as uncharacterized. The transcript is spliced from 2 exons. Lineage: Eukaryota; Viridiplantae; Streptophyta; Magnoliopsida; Poales; Poaceae. The record is from RefSeq and is a predicted model, not a curated record.
UUUAGUGCUAACCUCUUUGGCCGCACAAAUCUCCUCCAAGCAAAGUGGACGCACGUGGACUCCCUCAAAAAAAAGUGGACGCACGUGGGCGGCCACCGGCGAAGGGGGACGGCCGCCGGCGAACGAGGCCAUGCGCGAGACCGCAGCGAGGCGUCGCGGAGCCCUCUGCUCCGGUUUGUGAUCCGCGCAUCAGUCACCUCCAUCGCCACCGCGAGUCGCCUUCUCCUCCGUCGCUAGGAAUCCGGAAGCCGGCAAGGUAACUGAUCUCGGUGAACGAGGCCGCGCGCGAGACCGCGGCGAGGCGGCGCGGAGCCCUCUGCUGUCUGCUCCUUGCCGGUUUGUGAUUCGCACCGGUCACCUCCAUCGCCACCGUGAGUCACAUCCUCCUUCGCCGCCGGGAAUCCCGUCGCCGGCAAGGUAACCUCUCUCCCUGGUCCUCACGCCCUGCUUGCUGCGUGUGUGUGAUGUGUGGGUGCUUAUGUUGUGUGCUUGCUAGCUUGUCGAUGAUGGCCUACUACUGUAUACGUAUGAUUUUGGAGUCAGACUGUCAGAUUAUGAUCUAUGCACUUGAGGAAAGGGAUUAUGAUGUUGCUGAAUUGGGAGUCCUCUUUCGCGAAGCCAGAAGUUUGGUGUUGGGGAUUUCAAGCCCCUUACUUAAUUUGUUUCAAUUUUGGUUAGCAGCGAUUUACCUGUGCACCAAGUUUGAGUGGAAUACAUUUUUCCAUUCAAGAAAAACUUGGUGGAUUAAUUUGUUUUAUCCGGCGAGCACCAGUGAUGGUGCACGAUGACGGGCUUACUGGACCAGAAGAUAUCUGUACUCUUCUCAAUGGUGCAAAGUUGAGGUGUUCUCAAAUCUCAUUGGCCUAUUUUAUUUUACUACUGACUCUUGAAUGCUCUCUUUUUUCUGAUUUGGUUGUCUCUCUAUUCUUAUGUUCUUUACUUCCAAUUUCAACUUUCCAAGGAUUUAGUUAAAAAAAUUCAAGGAUUGUUCUUCUCAUGCCUUCUGUUGCCUGUUCAAGGAUUGUGCUGCAAUUUGGGGAGAGAUGGAGAACAUGGAGCCUUGGGCAGCUUAGGUAAAUCCUUCCUUAAGCGCAGUUGCCUUCUGGUCCAUAGGUAAAUCAUGAAACAAAACAUUGUUGCUUGUUCAACAUUUUCCUGAUGAAGUAAGAUGGUCUGCAUGUUAACAGUUGAAGAAUAUAAAAUAGGGAUGGUUUUUGAUUUGAUGGUUAAAACAAUGUUAAAAUAUGAUUGUUUUGUGCUCGCUUCAGAUAUUAAUCCAGUUAGGCUUCAUGGUAUAUGAAUGCACAAGCUUUUUAAGAGGGCCAAAAGAGAAAAUGGAAAACUAUUACAUAUGUCUUUCUGUCCAAACAAUAUAAAUCGAGAUUUCUAUCUUGCCAAAACUUCUUAUUAUUGCGUUCAUUUUCUUCCAAUUGUUUACAUGUCACCUCUUUGUUGGUUGUUGGUUGGUGCCAAGGCCAUUAGAAAAGAGUAAUGCCUCAAACAAGGUUGUUCCGAGGAUAGAACUCAGGGUGGCUACCAUCGAUGAUGCUAGCCAGCAAGCUCCUGGGUGACUACUCGAUGCCGACGAUUGUUGGUUUCCUUCAUGGCUAUUGUAAAAUGGUGCUUCAUAUAUCACAUGCUCUUUAUUGGGAUCUUUAUUGGCAAGCUAGCAUCACUUCACUUUUGUUCAUUUCUUUGGGGGUUGCAAGAAACAUAUGCUAAUGGUUAUGGACAUAUGAGCAAAUAAGAGAAGUUACAAUGUUGCAACUAUUCUCAGUUAUGAGAAUACUGAAAUGGAUAUAGACUGAUGAGAUGAUGUUCAUACAUGUUGAAGCAGGUUUCUGAAAGAAGUAAUGGGUAUAGACCUAACUAUGAUCAUCCUGUUGAUAGGACAUUCUCAUAGAUCGUUUUUUCUUGUUCUGGUUGAGAUAUAUUAAAGUCUGUGUACCCAUGAAAAAAGAAGAUACUUCAAAUUUUGUAUGUAGUACUUGGUGUAUGUGUGCUCAUGAGGUGUCCAGGUACUCAUGAUGUAACAUUAGAUUUUUGUUAUGUUCUAAUUUUCUUACCCUCGCAGUACCAACUAUGUAUACAGUACUCCAAGACUGCUAGCGCAUUGACUUUUCUUUGAAUUGUUUCUUCGUGAAAGUACCAUUUAUCUCUGAUAUUGUGUGAUGAUCACUGAAUAACUUAAAUACCUUUUCAGUAAUGACUCUGGAUAAAGACGAAAUAGAGAACAUAAUCUUGGUGGAGGCAUCUCAAUGGAGAUGGGAAAGUGUUGCAGAAGUGGAUUUAUUGGGUUGGGGAAAUAGAAAAAAGAAAUCUUGCUUGGUUUUUGUAUUCUCUUCCUGAUGUAUUUUUUAUGUAUUAUCGGCAUGGAAUAGAUGAUCCCUCUCACUUAAGUUGAUAUUGUUGUCUUAUACAUUAUGUUUCACUUCUCCA